GUGCUCGUUUCAGCAGCACUUAUACUAAAAAACUGAAAUGAUGUAGAGAGGAGUAGCAUGGCCCCUGCUCAAGAAUGACAUGCAAAUUCAUGAAGCAUUCCAUAACUAA
Molecule: small nuclear RNA, 109 nt
Organism: Ochotona curzoniae (black-lipped pika)
Lineage: Eukaryota; Metazoa; Chordata; Mammalia; Lagomorpha; Ochotonidae
Source: RefSeq, a predicted model, not a curated record